This 159-nucleotide ribosomal RNA is filed under the name Parasenecio palmatisectus. Its description in RNAcentral is "5.8S ribosomal RNA". It matches the Rfam family "5.8S ribosomal RNA". From Rfam's summary of the family: 5.8S ribosomal RNA (5.8S rRNA) is a component of the large subunit of the eukaryotic ribosome. It is transcribed by RNA polymerase I as part of the 45S precursor that also contains 18S and 28S rRNA. Functionally, it is thought that 5.8S rRNA may be involved in ribosome translocation. Lineage: Eukaryota; Viridiplantae; Streptophyta; Magnoliopsida; Asterales; Asteraceae. The record is from RNAcentral.
GACUCUCGGCAACGGAUAUCUCGGCUCACGCAUCGAUGAAGAACGUAGCAAAAUGCGAUACUUGGUGUGAAUUGCAGAAUCCCGUGAACCAUCGAGUUUUUGAACGCAAGUUGCGCCCGAAGCCUUUCGGCUAAGGGCACGUCUGCCUGGGCGUCACAC